Molecule: long non-coding RNA, 532 nt
Organism: Ictalurus punctatus (channel catfish)
Lineage: Eukaryota; Metazoa; Chordata; Actinopteri; Siluriformes; Ictaluridae
Exons: 3
Source: RefSeq, a predicted model, not a curated record
UGUGAUUCACUUGGAGUGAGAAGUUGGUCAGCUCUGGUCUCAGUGCUCAGCUCAGAAACCUCCAAUCUGAGAGAACUGCAUCUGACUGUGAAAACACUGAAUUUGUCCUGGAAUAAACUAGGAGACUCAGAAUUGAAGAGUCUCUGUGCUGGACUGGAGAAUCCUCACAGUAAAGUGGAGAUACUAAGGUUGUAUAAUUGUGGUGUCUCAGAUGAAGGCUGUGCUGCUCUGAUUUCAGCUCUGAGAUCAAACCCCUCACACCUGAGAGAACUGUCUCUGUCCUGUAAUAAACUAGGAGACUCAGGAGUGAAGAGUCUCUCUGCUGUACUGGAGAAUCCUCUCUGUAAACUGGAGACACUGUGGUUGCGUGGUUGUGGUCUAUCAGAUGAAGGCUGUGCUGCUCUGACUUCAGCUCUGAGAUCAAAUCCCUCACACCUGAGAGAACUGGAUCUGUCUGAGAAUAAUGUAGGAGACUCAGGAGUGAAGAGUCUCUCUGCUGUACUGGAGAAUCCUCACUGUAAACUGGAGAUAC